GCCAGGCAUUGUGACAUGUGCCUGUAGUCCCAGCUACUUGGGAGGCUGAGGUGUGAGGAUGCCCUUCAGGUAUAUGCACUAAGUUCAGCAUCAAUAUGGUAACCUCUCAGGAGCAGGGGAGCCACCACGUUGCCUAAGGAGGCGUAAAUUGGCCCAGGGCAGAAAUGCAGAUCAAAACUCCUAUGCUGAUCAGUAGUGGGCUCAUGACUAUGAAUGCCAGUACACUUCUA
Non-coding RNA from Canis lupus familiaris (dog), 230 nucleotides. The record is from Rfam. Lineage: Eukaryota; Metazoa; Chordata; Mammalia; Carnivora; Canidae.